UGGGCAACCUGCCCCUGGCUCUGGGAUAACUCCGGGAAACCGGAGCUAAUACCGGAUACGAGACCGAUUGGCAUCUUUACGGUCUGGAAAGUUUUUCGGCCAGGGAUGGGCUCGCGGCCUAC
Molecule: ribosomal RNA, 122 nt
Filed under: uncultured bacterium
Lineage: Bacteria
Description: partial 16S ribosomal RNA
Rfam family: Bacterial small subunit ribosomal RNA
Source: RNAcentral